CCAGCACGUUAUGGUGGGCACUCUAAGGAGACUGCCGGUGACAAACCGGAGGAAGUGGGGAUGACGUCAAGUCAUCAUGGCCCUUACGGCCUGGGCUACACACGUGCUACAAUGGUUGGUACAACGAGUUGCGAGUCGGUGACGGCGAGCUAAUCUCUUAAAGCCAAUCUCAGUUCGGAUUGUAGGCUGCAACUCGCCUACAUGAAGUCGGAAUCGCUAGUAAUCGCGGAUCAGCACGCCGCGGUGAAUACGUUCCCGGGCCUU
Molecule: ribosomal RNA, 264 nt
Filed under: uncultured Streptococcus sp.
Lineage: Bacteria; Bacillati; Bacillota; Bacilli; Lactobacillales; Streptococcaceae
Description: partial 16S ribosomal RNA
Rfam family: Bacterial small subunit ribosomal RNA
Source: RNAcentral